Molecule: long non-coding RNA, 1027 nt
Organism: Neopsephotus bourkii (Bourke's parrot)
Lineage: Eukaryota; Metazoa; Chordata; Aves; Psittaciformes; Psittacidae
Exons: 2
Source: RefSeq, a predicted model, not a curated record
GGGGGAGGGGGCGCGGACCCCCCGUUGGUGUGGAUUUGCUGCCCAAAGACCGUUAGAAAGAGGCAAGAAUGAAUGAGAUUGAAUGGAAUUGUAAUGCACAAGGCCCUCCUCCUUUCUCAAGGAGCUGGGAGGCCAGGAAAGCGAGUCGUGGGGAGAGCGGGCGGCUUUCCUCCACCUAGGAAGAGGCUUUGCAAAUCAGCAAAUUGUAGAUUUCGAGGGGAAGAGGGGGGGAAAGAGGGGGCAUUUGUGUUUUUUUAUUACAGAUAUGAGGAAAAAAAAAACCCAAUUAGAAAGCCCUGCAGCAGCCAAGAAGACCAAAAGGAGACAGAGGGAGGAAAAGAGGGAGAGGAGACUUGAUAGAAAAAUCUCAUUCCCCAACCUCUUUUUAGGUGCAGAGCCCUAUUUAUAGGGUGCGUGCUCUCCUAUAAGGCCCCGGUGCUCCAGCCCGCAGCGGAACGUUACUGAUGCAGCUGCAAGUGCUCAAAGCUUAAACAAUAUUUGUUCCCAACGCCCCAGCAGCCCGCCCGGGAGGAAGGUGGGGACGGGCUGGCGAUGGAGUCCUGAAUGUUACUCCUCCAGUUUCAAGGACAUCUUGCUGAUGAGGAUUUGGUUAAUGGAGGAGAACUUAUGUCCUAGCGGUGACGUCAUUGGGUCCCAAUGUAAUCCUCUUGUGCUGAACCCAAUCAGCAGAUGUGCCGAGAGCCGGGAUGCGGAGAAGAAGCUCUAAUCCCUUAGACUGGAUGAGAUCAGCUGAAACAGCCAGGACUAGACCCCAAACCCCUCUGCUAGGAAGAUCAAGAGAAAAGGGAUAAAUUGAGAGAGACGCCUCAUAACCCCUUUAAAGAGCUUUGGAGAAGAGAAGAGAAAGAUGGGUGGUGCACCAAGUUCAUCUUGCUUUUAAAGCCUAGCGGGAGCCUGGUUUUCACUCUGAUGGGGUCCUUCUGCAUUGUUCCAGGGCAGGAGAAGAGAGGAGGAGGAUAAAAAAAGAGAGAGAGAGAGAGGAGAGAGAGAGGAGAGAGAGAGAAAA